This 450-nucleotide ribosomal RNA is filed under the name uncultured bacterium. RNAcentral's name for it is "partial 16S ribosomal RNA". It matches the Rfam family "Bacterial small subunit ribosomal RNA", at positions 354 to 796 of the family's 1533-position model. The record is from RNAcentral.
GUGGGGAAUAUUGGACAAUGGGCGAAAGCCUGAUCCAGCCAUGCCGCGUGUGUGAAGAAGGUCUUCGGAUUGUAAAGCACUUUAAGUUGGGAGGAAGGGCAGUAAGUUAAUACCUUGCUGUUUUGACGUUACCGACAGAAUAAGCACCGGCUAACUUCGUGCCAGCAGCCGCGGUAAUACGAAGGGUGCAAGCGUUAAUCGGAAUUACUGGGCGUAAAGCGCGCGUAGGUGGUUUUGUAAGUUGGAGGUGAAAUCACCGGGCUCAACCUGGGAACUUCCUCCAAAACUGCAUGACUAGAGUACGGUAGAGGGUAGUGGAAUUUCCUGUGUAGCGGUGAAAUGCGUAGAUAUAGGAAGGAACACCAGUGGCGAAGGCGACUACCUGGACUGAUACUGACACUGAGGUGCGAAAGCGUGGGGAGCAAACAGGAUUAGAUACCCCAGUAGUCC